CAAACCAGCUCAGCUGGCAAGCUGGGACCAUCUGGCCUAUUGGAGACAAGGAACAACGGGGGACCGACCGGGGCGCCCUCUCCUGCCCUCCCCCCAGGAUUCCCUCAGCUGCUUAGAGAAUGGAGAGGAGGGUGAGGCUGGCUCCCCCACCACAGCCGUGACUCAGCGCCUGAGGCCCCACCCAGGGGAGGGGGCACCAAGAACAAGGGGCAGGCGGUGCCCCAAGCCUGUCCAGGAGAGUCUGGACACCCCCAGACAGUACCCCAGGGCUGUGGGAUUCUCCCAGGCUAAGAGUAUGCAGGAAGGGUCCCCCUUCCCAGGGCUGGGACCACCUGGCCCUAUGUCACUGAUUAUACUCUCCCUCACAGCCCCACUUUGGCCCACCCCAGGCCAGCCUCCGGGAAGUCCAGGUUACAUCCUCAGCAGCACCUGAGGGUGAGCGGACAGAAGGACCCCAGGAUGGCCUCAAAUCCAUUAACUCUCAGCUCAAAAACCCAUCCAGGGCAGUUUCUGUAGCCCAAGGUCUGGGGGAAUCUCCUCAGUCCCCACCCCAGGCCUGGCUGGGCACUUUCCCUGGCAGGUCCUCCCUGCCAUAGGAAGCACAGCAAAGCCCAGGCAGUUGCCCCCCACUGCGGUGCCACAGGUGGAGCAGGCUGGUGUGGGUGGGAAGGCUGGGGUGAAUGGGGUGCUGGGGCCCCAAUCUGACCAGGCAAAAUAGGCCUGGACACCUCCAGUGGGGGAGAGCAUGAGAUUCUGAGCCAGGGGCCGUGACGGGGCUGACCAAGACCCCAGCUGAGGCCCUGGCUCCACCUCCCCACCCCAGCCUGGUCACAGAAGGCAGUGCAGUGGUGGAGACCCAGGAUCGUGGGUGCCUGAGCCACUCACAUCUCUCUGCCAAUCAGCAACCAGGAGAUGGGGGAGCACAGAGGCUUGCCCAGCCCCACUGACCAGGCCAUCCUCUGGACCAACUCCUGGUGCCUUGUCCACAGCCUCCCCAGGCCCUAACUCACACCCCUGUGAGGUGGUCAUGCAAGGGCCCUGGGGUAAGAGAGCCGAUGCUGAGGCCCUCUCAGAGACCAGACACGCACAUGCACAUACCCGAGCACACACGUGCAAGAGGCACAGUAGCCAUGCUCAUGUUCUGUCAAGUGUGCAUGCAAGCAUGCAUCAGCACAGGGCGCUCACAGAUCUGUGUGUGUUCGUGGGCUCCAGUGCUGGC
Molecule: long non-coding RNA, 1219 nt
Organism: Manis pentadactyla (Chinese pangolin)
Lineage: Eukaryota; Metazoa; Chordata; Mammalia; Pholidota; Manidae
Exons: 2
Source: RefSeq, a predicted model, not a curated record